Long non-coding RNA from Helianthus annuus (common sunflower), 323 nucleotides. RefSeq lists it as uncharacterized. NCBI's taxonomy places the organism in Eukaryota, Viridiplantae, Streptophyta, Magnoliopsida, Asterales, Asteraceae. The record is from RefSeq and is a predicted model, not a curated record. The transcript is spliced from 2 exons.
CAAUGUUCAGUCCAUACAAGUCUAAGCUUCAACGUCAAUUUAGUGAAGAGGAUCGGAAGUAUGAGAAUCAAAAGAAAAGAUCUAAGAGACUCUCUGAAUGGAAAUGGGUCGAGGUUAUAAAUUUAGAUGAUUCUGAGGACGAUGAGAAAGAAGAUGAAUUAGAUGAUACUGCUGAUUCGAGCACAAACAAGAAAAACGGAUCAAAAAAGUAGAGAUUUUAGAUGAAAUAUAUCAAGUGUUUUUAUGUUUUUUUUUUUCAUUUUCAGUUGUUUUUGUUUGAUAUAGACUAUCCCAUGAAUAAUAAAGUUUAUUUUAUAUUUGAA